AAAGCUUUUCAACUCCAUGACGGUGACUGUUUUUCUCUUUUUCUCCCUGCAGACGAUGAAAACUUCUCUGUGAAAUACUUCCACCUGGUAAGAGACAAAUUGAGAUUUAGAUUUGCAUCGAUUUAAUGAUUAAAAGCUCAAACAGAAAUUGGUGACAGGGCUUUUGGGUAGUCUGCGCCCUUAGUCUGGAAGUCAAAAUGAAAGACGUCGAAGAUUUUUCAGGAUGGUGUUUUCUGGUCUUUGCCAGAUCUGCCCUGAAAAGGUUAUUUUUAAUCUCAAUUAGACCAACCUGGUUAAAUUAAUCAUUUAUUUGUAUUUUCUUUUCAUUUUUAGAUUGAUCCUGAUGUAGAAGAGGACGAGAACAAGAGCCCAGAGAGGAAGAAGUUAAAACUAAAGGAAGUGCACCUCACCAAGCUGCUCUCCACUAAGGCAAGAGGAAGCAGUCACAGUCAUUUCACCCAGAAGUGCACCAACACUAACAGAGGCUCUCUUUAGUGUUUAUUUCGACUGUGUGCAGCAGCUUUUGUUGCAUUUCUAGUGUAUUUUGUUUUGCUUUAGACUGAGCAGAUUUUAAAACUUUUAACCCCCUGUAUACACGAUAAGUUUGAACUUCACUAACAUGAUGUUUUUUAGUUUGCUACACCCAUUUUUUUUCCCCAUGUACUGCACUUUAGACCCUUUAUCCGAGGCUGUUAGUACAUUUGGCGCCACCUUGUGGUAUUAACACCACCGUACACUCACCGGUAUCAAAAUAAAUGGCAGCUAUUUCAGCCAAAUCCUUUGAAAGCUUUUUCCCAGAUAAAGAUUAACUUUUAAAAAUACAGCGAGGGCUACGACAGCAGCCAUCAAACAUGGUCUAAUCUCAUCCUUUCUCUUGAAGGUGGCCGUUCAUUCAUAUGUGGAGAACCUGUUCAGAUCUAUCUGGGGGAUGCCGCACUGUCGAGCCCCACAUGCUGUCAAAUAUUUCUUUGACUUCCUGGACACUCAGGCAGAGAACUUGAAGAUCACAGACCCUGAUGUGCUGCACAUCUGGAAGACCAACAGGUACUGCUGAGUCAUCAGAACCACAUCUGUUAAUAGGAAGAGGAAUAAAAAUCCUAACAUGUGUUUUCUUACCUUGUCCUUUUACAGUUUGCCUCUGCGCUUCUGGAUCAACAUCCUCAAAAACCCUCAGUUUGUUUUCGACAUGGAGAAGACCCCGCAUCUGGACGGCUGCCUGUCAGUCAUCGCUCAGGCCUUCAUGGACUCUUUCUCUCUGAGUGAACUCCAGCUGGGGAAGGUCGGAGCACAACAAAUGUCUCAAAGCAAAAACAAGAGCUCCCAUAUUGGGUUUAUAAAUUUAAAUCACAAUAAAAAGAAAGAAAAGUUAACACCAACAUCUCUGAUUUUGAUGUCCUCUAGCAUGCUCCCACCAACAAACUCCUCUACGCCAAAGACAUCCCCAAGUUCAAACAGGAAGUAAAGGUGUACUACAAGCAGAUCAGAGAUCAGCCACCAAUCACUGACCCAGGAUUUAAGGACUUCCUGCAGGAGGAGUCAAAGGUACAGAUCAUUUCAACCCAAAGUACUCAAAAUGAAAUAGUCACUGUUAUAUAAAAGAUAGAUUUGAGUUUUUUUUUUCAUUUCAGAAACAUGAAAACGAGUUCAAUGAAGCUGCAGCACUGAGGGAGCUCUUCAAAUUUGUCCUGAGAUACUUCACAGAGGUCAGUUUUUCGAGAAGGGGGAAAUAUGGCGGGGAUUGUAUGUUUCAAGCUUCUCCACCUGUCUAGCUACUAAACAUGAUCACAUGAUGACACAGUCAGAAGUGACUUCACUUGUGAAACUAGUGUUCGUGCUUGUGUGUGUGUGUGUAGGGGAAAUGACUGUCAGGGCUUUAAGAUUUCGCUUUGCUUCAUCUGGGCUGUUGUUUCCUGUUUAAGUGCACUGACUGACCCUAUUUCUGAACAUGCCACCGCAAAAGCAACCGUCAUGAGCAGUUCAGAGAGACUUGGAGUUUUCAGUUUUUAAAAGCAGUUGUCAAUUUCCUUUAAGAGAAAUUUUCAAACCUAAAAUUAAACAGAAUCAGGGCCCAAAAUAUGGAAACCGUUCUGGAUGUUUACUUUGGUCAGAGGUACAAAAAAGUAGGGGUGGGAAUCACUAGUGGUCCCAAGGCACUAGUGGUUUCCCCGCUCGCUUCUCUAGUUAUACCAACUUUAUUAACGACUGCACGGUAGCAAAAUACAGAGGUCUACCUCUCCAUGUGCAAACCUCAACCAAAACUCCACUCUAUAGCCACAAAUGAUGCUCAGAACAGCACCUAACUUCAUCAACAGAUGCAUGAUUUCUUUAGCAAAGAGACUAAACACAACUCACCUACUCUCUUCCAGCAGCCACUAUUUUGUAGGGAGACAGUCCAUUACCGACUGCAGUGGGGUGACGCAGCUCAAGGAAGAACAUUUAUGAUCACUACUUCAUGGAAAUGCAAUCAGACCGAAACGUUUAGGCAGGAGAGCUACCACGUCUGCAGUGCAAAACGUUUAAUAUGAUGAUUAUUACUUCAUGGAAAUGAUUAAGUAAAGUAAAGCUGUGUAUUGCUAUCCUGCGGUCGUUACUAAAGUUGGUAUAACUAGAGAAGCAAGCGGUCAGCAACUUUCAUCUCUCGACGGAGUGUCUAACUCAGUGUUACGGUUUGUUUGACCCUAACUUAAUUUUACGCCAGAAUAUCCCUUUGACGUUUUUAAAAAUAACCGGGUAUGUAUAAACAGGGUCUGAAACUUCCAGGGCUCUGGUUUAGCUCCACAGAGCAAGUGCUACAUGUACAGAAGCUAAUCCCCAUCACAUGAGCAGCAAGAUUGAUGACAGGCCCCAACAUUUUUUGAUGCAUGUCACCUCCCACUGCUUACUCUCACUUCCUGACUUUCUUCACCUAAUUUUCACUCUCCAUCAAAGGUACACCCCAAAUAAACCCUCAUCCGGGUAGAAUUUUGAUUAUAUUCUACGUAAAGAAAGCGAUUUGUGUUCAAACUGCUUAUCCGAAUAUCCAUCUUCCUGCAGAUUAAAGAGAAGUUGGACCAAAACGGAGCCCCUGCUGAGCUGAAAGAGCAGCUACAUGAAGUUAAAAACUCAUUUGGUGGAGUAAAAAGCUGCUCCUGGAACUGAGCAGAUGCAUGAACUAUGUAAGACACAGAGGGAGGAAAACUGUUACCGUAGAGCCAUCGGGAGAGGACUGAGGAGACUUCUGCACAGCUUGCAACACGUCCUGCAGAAGUGGAAAUGAAGGAACUAAAGAUGAGCAGCGAACCAUGUCGGGAACUGUGUGUCUUCAAAACUCUGGGUUUUCUGCUCGAACAUGACAAAAGUCUUCUGCAGUUCUUGGCAUUAAAACGGUCAUCCUUGAGAGGCACAUUUCAACUGAACUGAAGGGAUGAAUGUCUGGUUUCUGUUCUGUAGCUUCACUGUGGAAAAAAAACUCAGAAUCCCAAACAGAGACCAACCACGGAGAAAAGAUUUAUCUGUACAUUAUUUUUUUCAAAACAAUUCAAAUACAACAAGUUUGAAUCAACCAUGUGCAAUUUGUAUCGACUCAUAUGUAUUUUUUUCCCUGAGUGCUUGGAGGGAAAAUCUGUAAACAAACAUGUCAAUACAAAAAUCAAACCCUGAGGGACUUUUUAAAAAA
This 3655-nucleotide long non-coding RNA is filed under the name Xyrichtys novacula (pearly razorfish). Lineage: Eukaryota; Metazoa; Chordata; Actinopteri; Labriformes; Labridae. The record is from RNAcentral.